RNAcentral lists this ribosomal RNA (303 nucleotides) under uncultured bacterium. Its description in RNAcentral is "partial 16S ribosomal RNA". It matches the Rfam family "Bacterial small subunit ribosomal RNA", at positions 507 to 807 of the family's 1533-position model. The record is from RNAcentral.
AGCAGUAGCCGCGGGAAUACGAAGGGGGCUAGCGUUGCUCGGAAUGACUGGGCGUAAAGGGCGCGUAGGCGGUUUGUCGAGUUAGAUGUGAAAUUCCCGGGCUUAACCCGGGGACUGCAUUUGAUACUGGCAGGCUUGAGUGUGGAAGAGGGUCGUGGAAUUCCCAGUGUAGAGGUGAAAUUCGUAGAUAUUGGGAAGAACACCGGUGGCGAAGGCGGCGACCUGGUCCACUUCUGACGCUGAGGCGCGAAAGCGUGGGGAGCAAACCGGAUUAGAUACCCCGGUAGUCCCUGUCUCUUAUAC